UUUCCGUAGGUGAACCUGCGGAAGGAUCAUUAUUGAAAUAAACCUGAUGGGUUGUUGCUGGCUCUCUAGGGAGCAUGUGCACACUUGUCAUCUUUAUAUCUCCACCUGUGCACCUUUUGUAGAUCUGGAUAAUUUUCUGAAUGCCCUGGCAUUCAGGUUUGGGGAUUGACUUUGUCUUUCCUUACAUUUCCAGACCUAUGUUUUCUUCAUAUACACCAUGUAUGUUAUAGAAUGUAAUGAAAAGGCCUUUGUGCCUACAAACCUAUACAACUUUCAGCAACGGAUCUCUUGGCUCUCGCAUCGAUGAAGAACGCAGCGAAAUGCGAUAAGGUAAUGUGAAUUGCAGAAUUCAGUGAAUCAUCGAAUCUUUGAACGCACCUUGCCUCCUUGGUAUUCCGAGGAGCAUGCCUGUUUGAGUGUCAUUAAUAUAUCAACCUCCUCAAGUUUUUACUUGUUGAGUGUUUGGAUGUGGGGGGGUCUCUUUUUGCUGGUCUCUUUUGAGUUCAGCUCCCCUGAAAUGCAUUAGCGGAACAAUUUGUUGACUCGUUCAUUGGUGUGAUAACUAUCUACGCUAUUGACGUGAAGCAGGUUUCUGCUUCUAACAGUCCAUUGACUUGGACAAAUUUUCAUUAAUGUGACCUCAAAUCAGGUAGGACUACCCGCUGAACUUAA
RNAcentral lists this ribosomal RNA (672 nucleotides) under Cortinarius sanguineus. RNAcentral's name for it is "partial ribosomal RNA". The stretch from base 269 to 422 matches the Rfam family "5.8S ribosomal RNA". Lineage: Eukaryota; Fungi; Basidiomycota; Agaricomycetes; Agaricales; Cortinariaceae. The record is from RNAcentral.